GGACGAACGCUGGCGGCGUGCUUCAUACAUGCAAGUCGAACGAGAAGUUACCUCGGGUAAUGGAAAGUGGCGGACGGGUGAGUAAUGUGUAGAGAAUCUGCCCUUUAGUGGGGGACAACAGUUGGAAACGACUGCUAAUACCCCAUAUGCGCGUAGCUGAGAUGCUAUUCGUGAAAACUCCGGUGCUAAAGGAUGAGUCUGCAUCUGAUUAGCUAGUUGGGGGUGUAAUGGACCACCAAGGCGACGAUCAGUAGCUGGUUUGAGAGGAUGAUCAGCCACAAUGGGACUGAGACACGGCCCAUACUCCUACGGGAGGCAGCAGUAGGGAAUUUUGCGCAAUGGGGGAAACCCUGACGCAAGCAACGCCGCGUGAUUGAAUAUGCCCUUCGGGGUGUAAAGAUCUGUCAGUGGGGACGAAACUUGACGGUACCCACAGAGGAAGCAUCGGCUAACUCCGUGCCAGCCGCAGC
RNAcentral lists this ribosomal RNA (470 nucleotides) under uncultured bacterium. RNAcentral describes it as "bacterial SSU rRNA". It matches the Rfam family "Bacterial small subunit ribosomal RNA", at positions 27 to 518 of the family's 1533-position model. The record is from RNAcentral.